Hyla sarda is the source of this 319-nucleotide long non-coding RNA. RefSeq lists it as uncharacterized. The transcript is spliced from 3 exons. NCBI's taxonomy places the organism in Eukaryota, Metazoa, Chordata, Amphibia, Anura, Hylidae. The record is from RefSeq and is a predicted model, not a curated record.
AAGAGAUGGAGGAUAGAAGAUCAGCUGGAGCUGCCAUGAGGGGACAUCACUUUAUGGGAAAGAGGCUCAAUUGUUGAGAGAACAUUUCACAGCAUGGCAAGAGCCUAGGAUUAUGCCUACCCUUCCUGGUGAAUAACAGCUACAGGUAGCUAAAGGAUUUCUGUUCGUGCAAUGCAUAUUUCCUGUCAUUUCUCUAAAAUGGAAGAAGCAUUGGCUGUAAGGAAGACGCAGACUUCUAGACUACAUAAAUCUGUCAAAGAAGUUUAUCCAUUGUGAGUUUGUCUGGUAAUGAAAAUUCUGGCUUUACGCAUAAAUAAAU